This 472-nucleotide ribosomal RNA is filed under the name uncultured bacterium. RNAcentral's name for it is "SSU rRNA". It matches the Rfam family "Bacterial small subunit ribosomal RNA", at positions 26 to 513 of the family's 1533-position model. The record is from RNAcentral.
AGGAUGAACGCUGGCGGCGUGCCUAACACAUGCAAGUCGAACGUCCUGUCUCGCAAGAGGCAGGGAGUGGCGGACGGGUGAGUACCACGUGGGUCAUCUACCGUGAGGUGAGGAAUACCGGCGAGAAAUCGCCGACAAGACCGCAUAGGCUCGAUGCAAGUCGAGCAAAGCUCUUUCGAGAGAGGGAGCGCCACACGAGGAGCCUGCGCCCGAUUAGCUAGCUGGUGGAGUAACGGUUCACCAGGGCGACGAUCGGUAGCUGGUCUGAGAGGACGAUCAGCCACACUGGGAUUGAGAACGGCCCAGACUCCUACGGGGGGCAGCAGUGGGGAAUCUUGCACAAUGGGCGAAAGCCUGAUGCAGCGACGCCGCGUGAGGGAUGACUGCCUUCGGGUUGUAAACCUCUUUCAGCAGGGACGAAGCGAAAGUGACGGUACCUGCAGAAGAAGCACCGGCCAACUACGCGCCAGCA